UGGCUCAGGAUGAACGCUGGCGGCGUGCCUAAUACAUGCAAGUCGAGCGAACUGAUUAGAAGCUUGCUUCUAUGACGUUAGCGGCGGACGGGUGAGUAACACGUGGGCAACCUGCCUGUAAGACUGGGAUAACUUCGGGAAACCGAAGCUAAUACCGGAUAGGAUCUUCUCCUUCAUGGGAGAUGAUUGAAAGAUGGUUUCGGCUAUCACUUACAGAUGGGCCCGCGGUGCAUUAGCUAGUUGGUGAGGUAACGGCUCACCAAGGCAACGAUGCAUAGCCGACCUGAGAGGGUGAUCGGCCACACUGGGACUGAGACACGGCCCAGACUCCUACGGGAGGCAGCAGUAGGGAAUCUUCCGCAAUGGACGAAAGUCUGACGGAGCAACGCCGCGUGAGUGAUGAAGGCUUUCGGGUCGUAAAACUCUGUUGUUAGGGAAGAACAAGUACGAGAGUAACUGCUUGUACCUUGACGGUACCUAACCAGAAAGCCACGGCUAACUACGUGCCAGCAGCCGCGGUAAUACGUAGGUGGCAAGCGUUAUCCGGAAUUAUUGGGCGUAAAGCGCGCGCAGGCGGUUUCUUAAGUCUGAUGUGAAAGCCCACGGCUCAACCGUGGAGGGUCAUUGGAAACUGGGGAACUUGAGUGCAGAAGAGAAAAGCGGAAUUCCACGUGUAGCGGUGAAAUGCGUAGAGAUGUGGAGGAACACCAGUGGCGAAGGCGGCUUUUUGGUCUGUAACUGACGC
Molecule: ribosomal RNA, 745 nt
Filed under: Bacillus subtilis
Lineage: Bacteria; Bacillati; Bacillota; Bacilli; Caryophanales; Bacillaceae
Description: bacterial SSU rRNA
Rfam family: Bacterial small subunit ribosomal RNA
Source: RNAcentral